Molecule: long non-coding RNA, 1053 nt
Organism: Oreochromis aureus
Lineage: Eukaryota; Metazoa; Chordata; Actinopteri; Cichliformes; Cichlidae
Source: Ensembl
UAUAUAUAUAUAUAUAUAUAUAUAUAUAUAUAUAUAUAUAUAUAUAUAUAUAUAUAUAUAUAUGUAUAUAUAUAUAUAUAUAUAUAUAUAUAUAUAUAUAUAUAUAUAUAUAUGUGUGUUCAUAUAGAUUUUUUGCACACUGUAAUUUGCCACAUGUCUAAGCAGUGGUGAAACAUUUUUUUUCUUUUCCAAAAUGCAGUCAAACAAAACAAAAGUUCUCCACUACAUUAAAUAUUAUUUGAAGCACCAGGCGAGGAACAGCUACACCGGACAUUCAGACGGAUUCAUUUCAGCUGUGCGUCGCACUGUAAAAACCACUGUCCCGUAUGCUGUGUCUCAUGUUUGUUGUUGUUUAGUGUCUAGAUUUUUUUUCUCAUUGUUGUGUUUCCUUUUGAUCAGAUAAAAUAAUCGAGGCGUAUAUUGCCUGUUUUAUGAGGAAUUUUGCACAAAAUAGGAAACCUUAUCUGGUUUAUUUUACCUGUGUAAGUGUGAUUGCAAUCAGCAUUGAACUUUAUAUGACAUAUGUGUAUAUUUAAAAUAUUUUACAACCUAGUAUAGGCAGUGAUGCAGACUGAUCGCUUCACUGCACUCUUUUAAAAAUCAAAUGUGUUAAUGAAAGUAGUUUACACAUAGUUCCUUGCUUUAAUUCUCACAGAUAUAUGAAAUAUUAUGAUGCUCGGUGGCGGUCUGUAAUCGAAUGAAUGUGGUUUUGGCUGAAUGUACUGUAUGUUGUUUGGGAUUUUUGCAGUCAAAACAAUGUUAGGUUUGUUGUGGGGCAUUUUAAAUCACUUAUGUGUGAUGUUUUACACUGUUUUUACAAAUGUUCAUGAAGAUUUCUUUUAGAGACUUGAUCCAACAAUCACAUUACAAGUACUGGGAUUUUUCUGAUUAUACUACUCGUGCUGUCCUGAGUGUACUUUUAUUUUGCAUGUUUAAAGCUGUUGUGUGUGUUGACCUGAACUUUUUUGGGCUCAUCUUUAGAUUUGAUUCGCCCAGAGAGAGAUUAUUUAAAGAGCAAUUUUUUGUAUCUGUAUCAAUAAACACUGUAUGUAC